RNAcentral lists this ribosomal RNA (434 nucleotides) under uncultured Lachnospiraceae bacterium. Its description in RNAcentral is "bacterial SSU rRNA". It matches the Rfam family "Bacterial small subunit ribosomal RNA", at positions 341 to 792 of the family's 1533-position model. Lineage: Bacteria; Bacillati; Bacillota; Clostridia; Lachnospirales; Lachnospiraceae. The record is from RNAcentral.
ACGGAAGGCAGCAGUGGGGAAUAUUGCACAAUGGGCGAAAGCCUGAUGCAGCGACGCCGCGUGAGUGAAGAAGUAUCUCGGUACGUAAAGCUCUAUCAGCAGGGAAGAAAAUGACGGUACCUGACUAAGAAGCCCCGGCUAACUACGUGCCAGCAGCCGCGGUAAUACGUAGGGGGCAAGCGUUAUCCGGAUUUACUGGGUGUAAAGGGAGCGUAGACGGUUUGGCAAGUCUGAAGUGAAAUGCGGGGGCUCAACUCCUGAACUGCUUUGGAAACUGUCGAACUAGAGUGCAGGAGAGGUAAGUGGAAUUCCUAGUGUAGCGGUGAAAUGCGUAGAUAUUAGGAGGAACACCAGUGGCGAAGGCGGCUUACUGGACUGUAACUGACGUUGAGGCUCGAAAGCGUGGGGAGCAAACAGGAUUAGAUACCCUGGUA